This 433-nucleotide ribosomal RNA is filed under the name uncultured bacterium. RNAcentral describes it as "partial 16S ribosomal RNA". It matches the Rfam family "Bacterial small subunit ribosomal RNA", at positions 29 to 507 of the family's 1533-position model. The record is from RNAcentral.
AACGAACGCUGGCGGCAUGCCUAACACAUGCAAGUCGAACGAGACCUUCGGGUCUAGUGGCGCACGGGUGCGUAACGCGUGGGAACCUGCCCUUAGGUUCGGAAUAACUCCCCGAAAGGGGUGCUAAUACCGGAUAAUGUCUUCGGACCAAAGAUUUAUCGCCUUUGGAUGGGCCCGCGUUGGAUUAGCUAGUUGGUAGGGUAAAAGCCUACCAAGGCGACGAUCCAUAGCUGGUCUGAGAGGAUGAUCAGCCACACUGGGACUGCGACACGGCCCAGACUCCUACGCGAGGCAGCAGUGGGGAAUAUUGGACAAUGGGCGAAGGCCUGAUCCAGCAAUGCCGCGUGAGUGAUGAAGGCCUUAGGGUUGUAAAGCUCUUUUACCCGGAAUGAUAAUGACAGUACCGGGAGAAUAAGCUCCGGCUAACUCCGUG